UGGGCAGUAUCUUUGUAAGAACUGCACCACGCAUGGACGAUACGUUGAAAAUGAUUUCUGCCUUGAUCCGAUGAAGCGGACGGGGACAGAGGG
Anoxybacillus flavithermus is the source of this 93-nucleotide non-coding RNA. The record is from Rfam. Lineage: Bacteria; Bacillati; Bacillota; Bacilli; Caryophanales; Anoxybacillaceae.